CACGUAGGGCGCAAGCGUUGUCCGGAAUUAUUGGGCGUAAAGAGCUCGUAGGCGGUCUGUUGCGUCCGCUGUGAAAACCCGGGGCUUAACCCCUGGCUUGCAGUGGAUACGGACAGACUAGAGGUAGGUAGGGGAGAAUGGAAUUCCCGGUGUAGCGGUGAAAUGCGCAGAUAUCGAGAGGAACACCGGUGGCGAAGGCGGUUCUCUGGGCCUUACCUGACGCUGAGGAGCGAAAGCGUGGGGAGCGAACAGG
RNAcentral lists this ribosomal RNA (253 nucleotides) under uncultured bacterium. Its description in RNAcentral is "partial 16S ribosomal RNA". It matches the Rfam family "Bacterial small subunit ribosomal RNA", at positions 524 to 776 of the family's 1533-position model. The record is from RNAcentral.